Molecule: transfer RNA, 75 nt
Filed under: Bacillus thuringiensis
Lineage: Bacteria; Bacillati; Bacillota; Bacilli; Caryophanales; Bacillaceae
Also listed under: 2 other names
Description: tRNA-Gly
Rfam family: tRNA
About the family: Transfer RNA (tRNA) molecules are approximately 80 nucleotides in length. Their secondary structure includes four short double-helical elements and three loops (D, anti-codon, and T loops).
Source: RNAcentral
GUGGUAUUGGUCUAAUGGCUAUGAUUUCUGACUUCCAAUCAGAAGAUGAGAGUUCGAUUCUCUCAUACCACAUCA